UAGCUAGUUGGUGAGGUAACGGCUUACCAAGGCGACGAUCUGUAGCGGGUCUGAGAGGAUGAUCCGCCACACUGGAACUGAGACACGGUCCAGACUCCUACGGGAGGCAGCAGUGGGGAAUUUUGGACAAUGGGGGCAACCCUGAUCCAGCCAUGCCGCGUGAGUGAAGAAGGCCUUCGGGUUGUAAAGCUCUUUCGGCCGGGAAGAAAUCGCAUGGGCCAAUACCCUGUGUGGAUGACGGUACCGGAAUAAGAAGCACCGGCUAACUACGUGCCAGCAGCCGCGGUAAUACGUAGGGUGCGAGCGUUAAUCGGAAUUACUGGGCGUAAAGCGUGCGCAGGCGGUUUUGUAAGACAGGCGUGAAAUCCCCGGGCUCAACCUGGGAACUGCGUUUGUGACUGCAAGGCUAGAGUACGGCAGAGGGGGGUGGAAUUCCACGUGUAGCAGUGAAAUGCGUAGAGAUGUGGAGGAACACCAAUGGCGAAGGCAGCCCCCUGGGUCGAUACUGACGCUCAUGCACGAAAGCGUGGGUAGCAAACAGGAUUAGAUACCCUGGUAGUCCACGCCCUAAACUAUGUCAACUAGGUGUUGGGUGGGUAAAACCAUUUAGUACCGUAGCUAACGCGUGAAGUUGACCGCCUGGGGAGUACGGCCGCAAGGUUAAAACUCAAAGGAAUUGACGGGGACCCGCACAAGCGGUGGAUGAUGUGGAUUAAUUCGAUGCAACGCGAAAAACCUUACCUACCCUUGACAUGCCAGGAACUUGCCAGAGAUGGCUUGGUGCCCGAAAGGGAGCCUGGACACAGGUGCUGCAUGGCUGUCGUCAGCUCGUGUCGUGAGAUGUUGGGUUAAGUCCCGCAACGAGCGCAACCCUUGUCGUUAAUUGCCAUCAUUUAGUUGGGCACUUUAGCGAGACUGCCGGUGACAAACCGGAGGAAGGUGGGGAUGACGUCAAGUCCUCAUGGCCCUUAUGGGUAGGGCUUCACACGUCAUACAAUGGUCGGUACAGAGGGUCGCCAAGCCGCGAGGUGGAGCCAAUCCCAGAAAGCCGAUCGUAGUCCGGAUUGCAGGCUGCAACUCGCCUGCAUGAAGUCGGAAUCGCUAGUAAUCGUGGAUCAGCAUGUCACGGUGAAUACGUUCCCGGGUCUUGUACACACCGCCCGUCACACCAUGGGAGCGGGUUCCGCCAGAAGUAGGUAGCCUAACCGCAAGGAGGGCGCUUACCACGGCGGGGUUCGUGACUGGGGUGAAGUCGAAACAAGGUAGCCGUAGGGGAACCUGCGGCUG
RNAcentral lists this ribosomal RNA (1287 nucleotides) under metagenome. RNAcentral describes it as "bacterial SSU rRNA". It matches the Rfam family "Bacterial small subunit ribosomal RNA", at positions 242 to 1520 of the family's 1533-position model. The record is from RNAcentral.